UUGUGGAGUGAUUGAUUAAAACCCUAUUUGAUUUUGAUGAGCUCAAAGCAUUUGAGUAUAUUUCUUGUUUACUAAUGAAUUCAGUUAAGUAUUUUCAGUGAAAAUCUUCUCUAAGUGUCUCUAGACUUGGUUCAUAGUAUUUUGGAUAAGUUAAGAAGUCAGCUUGAACCAAAGUCUGAGACUCGAGUCGACUCCAGAGUAUCACGAGUCGACUCCAAGCGUAUCAAGUUCACUGGCACGGGCUCGA
This 247-nucleotide long non-coding RNA is filed under the name Phoenix dactylifera (date palm). RNAcentral describes it as "long non-coding RNA (PDAC_LNC017461)". Lineage: Eukaryota; Viridiplantae; Streptophyta; Magnoliopsida; Arecales; Arecaceae. The record is from RNAcentral.